This 1436-nucleotide ribosomal RNA is filed under the name uncultured bacterium. RNAcentral describes it as "bacterial SSU rRNA". It matches the Rfam family "Bacterial small subunit ribosomal RNA". The record is from RNAcentral.
AGAGUUUGAUCCUGGCUCAGAGCGUACGCUGGCGGCACGCCUAACACAUGCAAGUCGAACGAAGUAGCAAUACUUAGUGGCAGACGGGUGAGUAACAUGUAGGUAUCUGCCCUUUGGCCUGGAAUAACACGAGGAAACUUGUGCUAAUACCGGAUAAGUCUUUACGGAGAAAGCUUUAUGCACCAUUGGAUGAGCCUGCACUUGAUUAGUUUGUUGGUGGGGUAAUGGCCUACCAAGACUGUGAUCAAUAGCUGAUUUGAGAGGAUGAUCAGCCACAUUGGGACUGAGACACGGCCCAAACUCCUACGGGAGGCAGCAGUGGGGAAUCUUGCACAAUGGAGGAAACUCUGAUGCAGCGAUGCCGCGUGAGUGAAGAAGGCCCUUGGGUUGUAGAGCUCUUUCGUCGGGGAAGAAAAUGACUGUACCCGAAUAAGAAGGUCCGGCUAACUUCGUGCCAGCAGCCGCGGUAAUACGAAGGGACCUAGCGUAGUUCGGAAUUACCGGGCUUAAAGAGUUCGUAGGUGGUUGAAAAAGUUGGUGGUGAAAUCCCAGAGCUUAACUCUGGAACUGCCAUCAAAACUUUUCAGCUAGAGUAUGAUAGAGGAAAGCAGAAUUUCUAGUGUAGAGGUGAAAUUCGUAGAUAUUAGAAAGAAUACCAAUUGCGAAGGCAGCUUUCUGGAUCAUUACUGACACUGAGGAACGAAAGCAUGGGUAGCGAAGAGGAUUAGAUACCCUCGUAGUCCAUGCCGUAAACGAUGUGUGUUAGACGUUGGAAAUUUAUUUUCAGUGUCGCAGCGAAAGCGAUAAACACGCCGCCUGGGGAGUACGACCGCAAGGUUAAAACUCAAAUGAAUUGACGGGGACCCGCACAAGUAGUGGAGCAUGUGGUUUAAUUCGAAGAUACGCGCAGAACCUUACCAACACUUGACAUGUUCGUCGCGACUUUGAGAGAUCAAAGUUUUCGGUUCGGCCGGACGAAACACAGGUGCUGCAUGGCUGUCGUCAGCUCGUGUCGUGAGAUGUUGGGUUAAGUCCCGCAACGAGCGCAACCCUCACUUUUAGUUGCCAUCAUUAAGUUGGGCACUCUGAAAGAACUGCCAGUGAUAAGCUGGAGGAAGGUGGGGAUGACGUCAAGUCCUCAUGGCCCUUACGUGUUGGGCUACACACGUGCUACAAUGGUAUCUACAACAGGAAGCAAGACUGCGAAGUUAAGCAAAUCCUCAAAAGAUACCUCAGUUCGGAUUGCACUCUGCAACUCGAGUGCAUGAAGCUGGAAUUACUAGUAAUCGUGGAUCAGCGUGCCACGGUGAAUGCGUUCCCGGGUCUUGUACACACCGCCCGUCACACCAUGGGAGUUGGUUCUACCUUAAGGCAAGGUUUUAAACCCUUGACCACGGUAUAGUCAGCGACUGGGGUGAAGUCGUAACAAGGUAACC